CCUACGGUGGGCUGCAGUGGGGAAUAUUGCACAAUGGGCGAAACCCUGAUGCAGCGACGCCGCGUGAGUGAAGAAGUAUCUCGGUACGUAAAGCUCUAUCAGCAGGGAAGAAAAUGACGGUACCUGACUAAGAAGCCCCGGCUAACUACGUUCCAGCAGCCGCGGGAAUACGUAGGGGGCAAGCGUUAUCCGGAUUUACUGGGUGUAAAGGGAGUGUAGACGGCAGCACAAGUCUGGAGUGAAAUCCCGGGGCUUAACCCCGGAACUGCUUUGGAAACUGUGCGGCUGGAGUGCAGGAGGGGUAAGCGGAAUUCCUAGUGUAGCGGUGAAAUGCGUAGAUAUUAGGAGGAACCCCGGUGGCGAAGGCGGCUUACUGGACUGUAACUGACGUUGAGGCUCGAAAGCAUGGGGAGCAAACAGGAUUAGAUACCCUUGUAGUC
This 440-nucleotide ribosomal RNA is filed under the name uncultured bacterium. RNAcentral's name for it is "partial 16S ribosomal RNA". It matches the Rfam family "Bacterial small subunit ribosomal RNA", at positions 338 to 795 of the family's 1533-position model. The record is from RNAcentral.